Molecule: long non-coding RNA, 2791 nt
Filed under: Nicotiana benthamiana
Lineage: Eukaryota; Viridiplantae; Streptophyta; Magnoliopsida; Solanales; Solanaceae
Description: long non-coding RNA (NBEN_LNC036442)
Source: RNAcentral
AAAUUUGUCUCUACUAAUAAACAAAGGUCCUAAUUAAUUAAUAUGUUUGAAAGAUUCCAAAAUGAUUUCAACAAAUAGGUCCCAGAGCUGGGCAAACCAUCUUCAUCAAAAGCUCAGGCUUCAUUAUUCAGGAACUGGGCAAGCCUGGGCCUGUGACAAUUUCUGUGCUCAAUAGUAAAUUACUGGGCUGCCAAUUAAUUUUUCACGGCCUAAGUGGUCCACGCCUUGAGCCUAAGCUCAUAUGAAAUUUGUUGAGUAGUAAUUAUAGGUUAUAUGCCUCAAUUCAAACAUUUUUACUAGUGAGAGAUUUAAGCUAUGGAAAAUAUCAAGGAUUGUAGAGAAUAAGUAAUAUUCAAAGUGACUAACAACCACUGGCAAAGGCACCCGAUUAAUGUUACUGUUAGUGUUAUUAUCAACUUAGGGUCAAAUCUGAAAAAAUUACACAAUCUAGUUAUAUUUAUUUAAUGCCAAGUACUACCUCUACCUGAACACUUGUGAAUUAAUACAACAAUGAACCAACGGCUAACCAAUCAGGAAUUUCAUAAAGUCUUUAGUUUCCAAUUCCUAAGCUAAUCAUUUUCCUUUAAGCUUUUAACAAAUGGUGAAAUACAUCAUGAAUUCUACAAUAAAAUCGAACCAAUCUUAUUGAAUAUAGAAAACACAUAAAAUCAGAAGAAAAACUCAAAUGAGCUUAACAGUCCAAUUUGAAUUAGUAAUGCAAACAGUUCAAAUCAUUAGCAACAGUCCUAAUUAUACAGUCUGCAUACCUAUUGUCCGUGUUACUACAAGUUGAGCCUAAACCAUUACAACCAAAUACACAUUAACUAGAAUAUAUCGAAUUAUCCAAGUGAAUACAUCUUGAAGUAGAGAAUAUGUUCAAGCUUUAUUUCACUUCCAUUUCCACAUUUACAUCGAGGUGGUUUGAGAUAUGUACCUGGAAUUCGAACAGAAAUAAGAAGGAGAGGAUGUCGGUAGCAACAGAUGCCAAACAGCUGAUCGAGAUCAAGUUCACAAGCCAAUACACAACAACAAAUUACUCCAGAUUUGAGUUUUAAACACAACGUCAACACAAUAACUUGAAUAAACCCAAAUAGUAAACAAACUAACCCAGAAAUCAUCCCCAACCAGUAAUUGAUCCAACAACUAACUCAACUCAAACCAAUUUAAUCCAAGAAUGAUUCAAACAUUGUCAGAUUUUGAAUAAGAGCAGAAGGAGAAAAGCUCAAGUUGUUUCUGAUCCUAAGCGAGCUAAAGAGAUGAAUUACUAGCUGAAAAUCUGAGAAAAGUUCUAGUAAGGCAAUGAAAUAGUAAUUUUUUUUUUGAUUUUUCUGUUUUUCGUUGUUUUUGCAUUUUAAAUGUUUGAAUUUCAAGGUCAGAUCUGAAAAUCAGAGAAGAGCUUUUGUGGGGGAAAUUUGAUGGUUGAAACUUGUUUCUUAGGGCAUUUGUGAUGCCUUUUAUAGGCACAAAUAAGACGGUAUCAGAUUUUUAACUUUAAAAAACAAUCCCCCCUCAUUUUUAGCUUUAGUCCUCUAUUUAUUAAUUUAUGCCUCAAGUCACUACCUUUAAACUUCUAAAAUUGUGACUAAAGUCCUAUUCUAGAGCAUUCUAGUAAGUUCUUGCUCAAUUGAAAUUCCUAAACACACUUCCCUCAUUCUAAAAUUAACAAAUUAGCUUCAACUAAACUCAACCUCUUUAAUUUAGUCAGAAUUCAUCUAUAGCCCAAUAAACUUUUAAACUAAAUUUAACCAAUCAACCUAAACCAAAUCUUUUAUUCUAAUUGAACUUUAACUAUAGUUAACUAGGAAUUGAAAUUACUCAAAUAUAUCUAAUAUGGCCUAAAACUAAUUUGAAGUUAAUCAAAAUAACAACUAAUCAUCAGCAAGCAACAAUUAAACUUAAAACAGAAACCUAUCGAAACCUUAAAGCAUAAAAAUUAGACCUGCAGAAUCAAACAUGAAACUUAACUAAUCAUGCAAAACAAUUACUACAUCAAUCUUUCUAACAAUCUAACUAAACCAACAUACCAAAUAGAAGAACAGAUAUAGAGACUUGAAAAAGAAAAGACAUCAAGAAGGAAUCUGAAACAGAAAAUAAAGAGAACACACUUACUGAAAAAAAUAAAGAAGAAAUCCGGCCAGUUAUCAAUUUUCCAGUUCGGCCAUUUUCAGUGAUAUUUGAACGCCCUAGGUGGUGGAAUCUUCAUGAGGAUGGUGAGGGAAUCAUAUGGUCUCAAUUUGGUGUAAUUUGGAGCAUUUUAGCUUUGGCCGGAAAUCAUUCAAAUCAAUAUUGGAAUGGUUCUGACCAUAUUCGAGGGACGAGGUUAGGAGGGCUUGAUAGAGGAGGGCUAGGCAGUCUUAUGGUGUUCAUCUGGUGAAGUUUGGGAAAAGUAGCAUUUUGGCCGGAGUUUUUUCGAUCUGAAUAUUCAAAGGUUUGAGGUGGGAUUCGAGGGAAGUGGGUGAUGUAUUCGGAUAGAGGAAGAGAAUAGGAGUAUAUGGUGUUAGUUUGGUAUAAUUUGGCGACGGGCCGCCGUGGUGGGCGAUUUCCGGCGGAGGUCCACGGUAGUGUUACACAUGGCUGUAAAUGGGUGUGUUUGGGAUGAUUAAACGGGGGUGGGGGAGGGGUGUUCCAACAUUAAAUAUUAUACACUCCCCACUAACGAUCAACUGACUACCACACCUAUGAUUUGAUGUUAUCCAAACGGCAUUGUUUCAGUUGAAGGGGGACUGGACGGGGUUGGGGUUAAAUUGGACCUGGGCGUGGGGUGAUGUUGGGCUAAAAUAACGGCCAUUUG